This is an RNA transcript of Rhodamnia argentea, 4271 nucleotides long. RefSeq lists it as uncharacterized. The transcript has 10 exons. The record is from RefSeq and is a predicted model, not a curated record. NCBI's taxonomy places the organism in Eukaryota, Viridiplantae, Streptophyta, Magnoliopsida, Myrtales, Myrtaceae.
CUGGUGAGGAAAGGAAGCAUUCCCUCCAAAAUUGCCUCCACUCUCGUUUUCCCUCCAACUUCCUCUAAACCCUAGUCUCCCUCUCUCUCUCUCUCUCAUACUGAUCAUCGACGCAGACCAUUGAGUCCUCCGGUUCUCGGCCGUGAGCCCAAUCCGAUGAAGUUGACGUGUUCUUGCGGUUGAAGCGGAGAAAUGACCUCGGUCGGCGACGGCAACGGCAACGGCGGAGAACCCAGUGCGCCGAUUCCCAAUGCCAAUUCCAUUCCUACUGGAACCCUGCCUUCCGAUCGCGAAUUCUCACGCUCUCCGUCCCCCGAAUCAGGUGACAUGAUGGAAGGAGAGACCUUGGACGAGCUUUAUGUAGAAAGCACAAUGCAGUUCGAUGAUACUGCCCCAUUAGAUGGUGCAUUUGAGACUCAGAUCCUAGAUACCGGUGGAGAGACCCAAUUGGUCGAUUUUGGCGGUGAAACUCAAGUAAUUGAGUGCGAAGAUGGCAUCGGGAAUGUUGAGACACAGCUCUUAUUAGAUGCAUGUGAUACUCAAAUUGCCUUUGAUAGUCAUAGUGAAGAUACUGGGGGAACUGAAGUCCUGGGUUCUGAUGAUGAGAUAUCAGAUGGUGGUUUGCACGGAAAAGGUGGUUAUUCUAGAGAUGAGAAGAAGAUGUCCUGCAGUUCUCUUAGCAAGGAUAGCGAGACCAGGGAGCAAUCCACUGCUUUAACCGAUGAACCGUGCAGUUCAGGUGCUGUCAGAAGGGGAUUUACUUCAAUUCGUGUGGCAUCUCUCCGAGCAUCUGGUUUAGCUGCUCGCAGCAUGUACCUGAACGGUGCUAGCAGUUUGUCAUGUUCUCUGCUGAGCACGAGGCAGUCUUCAGAAGAACAGGCUAGUGAUGAUAAUGGGGCAUCUUUCCGCGGUGCUUAUAUCAAAUCCGGUGAAGAAUUUGAUCAGGAAUGUGAUGCUCAGACUUCUCUUGAGAUUUCGAAGAUGGAACAUGGGAAGAAGUGCAAAAUAGGGAGUGGUGCUGUUAGAAGACUCUUUGCAGAGGAUGUUGUUGACAACAUGCCUGAUGAGACAUCUGACUUGAAGGAAGUUCCUCUUGGAAAUGAUCAACUUGCUGGAUUAAGCUAUGUAGAAUCUCAAGAACCAGGAGAUCUUUCACAGGCAAAUGCACUUGAUUUUGUUGACAGGUUUCUGAAGGACAAUGUUGAGCAACUUCAUGAAGAGCUUGACUUUGGAAAGACUGUUGGAAGAAAACCAUUAUCAAUCACGAGUGCAAAAGGGCCACAGAAUUUGGCCAAGAGUGCAAGUAGAAUAACUGUAAGAGCUGAGGUUUUUGACUGGGAUGAUGGACGCGAGGAUGAGGGUGGUGGAGAUAUUUUCUGCAGGCGGAAGGAAGAUUUCUUUGAUGGUGGGAGCAGUAAGUGCAGAUCCAUAACCUUGCCCAGGAAGCACAGAAACAGAAAACAAGAUGGUAAUGGAGAUAAGGAGGAACCAUCGAGUGCUCCCUGCACAACAACUGGCGUACUUCAUUCUGAUUCAGAAGCAAUUCUGAGAAUGGGUGGAAAAUGUCAGAUGAUGGCCAAAGAGGCUGAAAUGAAUCAUAAAAGGGAUCUUACAAGUCAGUUGGAUGAACAAUCUAAGAUAGAUUCAAGAGACGACUUGGAGGCAAUUACUGGUGAUGCUUGUGUGCCAGACAUGCCCAGUGUAGGCUUUGACACUCAACUGGCUGCAGAGGCUAUGGAAGAAUUAUGCCAGGGGGAGGCCCUUCCUAGGGAGGAUAAUUGUGAUAUCAGCAUUUCUACAAGAAAGUUGAGGAGCACAAACAGAGAUUAUAAUGAACAAAUUAAGAAGUCGGCCAUCACACUGCAGAAGCAUUCUAAGGAUAAGGAGACUUGCCACAGACCAGGAGACAAAACUCGCAAGUUGGAGAUGACUGGCCUUACUGCCAAUAGGAACAAAAAGUCGAAUAAAUUGCCUUCCAAGAACUUACAGCCUAAAAACAGGGAAUCUCUUCGAAGACGCCAAGCUGGUGAGUUUGGUAAGCAGGGUGUCACCAGAACAUCGAAUGUAGGUACUUUCGCCAGCAAGCAGCAAUUACUAGGCGAAGUUGGUUUAUUUACACCCAUUGCUAGUCGAACCAGAUCUUCCUCAGCAGUAAAUCACGUGCAAAGGACGGAAAGUUUAUUAUGUAACCACAAGAAAGCAACAGACGGUGCAGAGAAUGUUGGGGUCUGUAAAAGGAAAAGAAGCAACCGAGAAAGAAGAAGUAGCAAAAAAAGUGAAGAUGAUUCAAUGGUCAAGGCUAAAGGAAAUUCACUGGAGCAAUUCCUUGCAGUAGAAAGCAGCAAGAGGUCUGUUAGACAAAAACGGAUAAAAACUGAUGCAACAAGUAAGGGUGAUCUGGAAGUACAGUUGCCUACUCGAAAUCCUGAAGCAGGACCAGAGAAUGGCACUAGUGAGAGCACUUCGUUCAAGUUGAAUAGGGAACUGUUGGCUGAAAGGUCAAAUAUGACUGACGCGAUUCGGCAGUCUGAGACAAAAGGAGAUGUUGGUGCUACAUCAUCCACUCAGAAUAUGGAAGCAAAUGCCAUGUUAGAUCACACUCCAAGGGAAAAAUGUAAUGUAAAUUCAGCUCGUACUACUCCUCUUAGCUGUUCAACGCCCUUCAACGAUGCUUCGCCAGUUUGUGUGGGAAAUGGCUAUAUGAAUCCAUCAUGCAAGAAGAACCUUUCGAGAUCAUACCUCAGGAAUGAAAUUAAGAGCUUAAAUGCAUCAGGACCAGAACCUUCUUCAGCAUAUAAGGAUAUGCGGAAGAGGAGAGACAUGAGUGAUAUUUGUGUCUUGUACAGCCACCACUUGGAUGAUGACAUUGUCAAGCAGCAGAAAAAGAUUUUGGCUCGUCUAGGAGCUUCUGCAGUGUCUUCUAUUGCUGAAGCGACACAUUUCAUAACAGAUGAAUUCGUGCGUACAAGAAAUAUGUUAGAAGCAAUUGCUUCUGGAAAACCUGUAGUUACCCAUUUAUGGCUUGAGAGUUGUGGACAAGCUAACUGCUUUCUCGAUGAGAGAAAUUACAUACUAAGAGAUGCUAAGAAAGAGAAGCAAUUCGGCUUUAGUAUGCCUGUUUCAUUGGCACGCGCAUGCCAGCAUCCACUUUUACUGGGCCGAAGAGUUUUGAUCACCCCAAAUGCAAAGCCUGGUAAAGACAUAAUAUCAAGUCUAGUGAAAGCAGUUGGUGGCCAACCGGUAGAGAGAAUUGGAAGAUCUGCUGUGAAAGAUGAUAAAGUAUUGGAUGAUUUGUUGAUUUUAUCCUGUGAAGACGACUACGACAUGUGCCUUCCUUUCCUUGAGAAAGGAGCAGCAGUAUAUAGUUCAGAGCUGCUGCUGAAUGGAAUAGUUACUCAAAAGCUGGAAUACGAAAGGCACCGUCUCUUUGCAGAUCAUGUUAAAAGAACUCGCUCUACAAUUUGGCUGAAAAAAGAUGGUAGCAAUUUUGUUCCUGUAACCAAGCAUAAAUAGAAGGGAUUAUAUUGGAAAACUCUUUUUUGGCCCCGGAUUCCAAGUAAUUGUUCAUGAAAAGAUAGUCCAAUCUACAUACCAUUUGGCAGGUCGUGCUGGAGAGCGACAAUUCGUAAUAACAUGAACAUGACGAACUUAUUGAGAGACCCUCAAAAUUUGACAAGAUACAGACACAAGUUAACUUGAAAUUGAUGUGGACUUGACAUGUUUUGAUGCAUAUUAAUAAAAUAAGCGGUUUAUCCUUGCUUGGGAUGAAAUUUGCUGUUCUGCUUCGGUCUGAUUUGAACCGACGUAACAUCCAAAGCCAUGGCAUGAAUUUCCGACCCUUCUAAUUCUAGGUACGUUCUUGUGAAAGCCCUUCCAAUCUGCUUUUUUUUUUUUUUAAUCAUGAAUUGAAUUUUUACAAAAUUAUUGAACGAUUGCGACGGGAGGUAUGGAACACUUUGGUGCUGUACCGUUGUAGGUCGAAUCGAUUUGCUUCUCAAGGCAUCUAACUUAUCACUUAGUCAUUCAUGGAUGGACUUUAAGGCUAUUUGGCUGAUCCAUCUCGUUCCGUUUAAUCCCAGCGAAAUCCAAUAAAGGCGUUGAUACUUUAUUUUCUCUUCCUUCCUUCUUCUCUUCAGAAUUUCAAAUGAGACUUUGCAAUGUAACUGAAAAUUAUUUGGAGAAUCAAAUUCUUUAGCUAAUACACAAUUUCGCGUAAUAUGCGCCUCAUGAAGUGAAUGCCAUAUGACGCCUGCGCAAGUCCGAGAAACAAA